CCCUGAGGAGCUGAAAUUCUAGGCACAGGCCUAGUUGGAACUGCUUCUGAUGGGAGUUUAUGUGUAUCUCAGAGGAGAAGUCUUAUGAACUUGGGUUUGAUAUGCCCAGAAAUGGAUCCAUAGCAACUUCCAGGAGAAGAUAGUCACACCAGACAAUUGAACCAAUUUUUGGUGGUUGCACCUGGACACUGAAGCCACCGUUUUCCAGAUUGUUUGCUUGGUUGUUUCCUCUGCCAGAUAUCUAUGUUUAUUGCUCUACCCUGAGGCUCAUCAUCUCAGGAAUCAGUGAAAUGUUUCCAAGAAUGGAUGGAACAGAUGUUGGGCAUGAGGCUGAGACACGCCCUGGAAGGUAA
This is a long non-coding RNA of Herpailurus yagouaroundi (jaguarundi), 353 nucleotides long. RefSeq lists it as uncharacterized. Lineage: Eukaryota; Metazoa; Chordata; Mammalia; Carnivora; Felidae. The transcript is spliced from 3 exons. The record is from RefSeq and is a predicted model, not a curated record.